UGGGGAAUUUUGGACAAUGGGGGAAACCCUGAUCCAGCCAUCCCGCGUGUGCGAUGAAGGCCUUCGGGUUGUAAAGCACUUUUGGUAGGAAAGAAACGUCAUGGGUUAAUACCCCGCGAAACUGACGGUACCUGCAGAAUAAGCACCGGCUAACUACGUGCCAGCAGCCGCGGUAAUACGUAGGGUGCGAGCGUUAAUCGGAAUUACUGGGCGUAAAGCGUGCGCAGGCGGUUCGGAAAGAAAGAUGUGAAAUCCCAGAGCUCAACUUUGGAACUGCAUUUUUAACUACAGGGCUAGAGUGUGUCAGAGGGAGGUGGAAUUCCGCGUGUAGCAGUGAAAUGCGUAGAUAUGCGGAGGAACACCGAUGGCGAAGGCAGCCUCCUGGGAUAACACUGACGCUCAUGCACGAAAGCGUGGGGAGCAAACAGG
Molecule: ribosomal RNA, 429 nt
Filed under: Acidobacteriota bacterium
Lineage: Bacteria; Pseudomonadati; Acidobacteriota
Description: Acidobacteria bacterium partial 16S ribosomal RNA
Rfam family: Bacterial small subunit ribosomal RNA
Source: RNAcentral